CCUUUCUGACCAUUUUUGGUCCAGUUUUGACCAUUUUGGUUCCCUUUCCGACCACUUUGGGUCCAUUUCUGAUCAUUUUGGGGCUGUUUGGGCCCAUUUUGGGUCCAUUUCUGACCAUUUUGGCUCCAUUUCUGUCCACUUUGGUUCCAUUCCCGACCAUUUUGGGGCUGUUUGUGUCCAUUUCUGACCAUUUUGGGUCCAUUCCCGACCAUUUUGGGGCUGUUUGGGGCCAUUUCUGACCAUUUUGGGUCCAUUUCCGACCAUUUUGGGGCUGUUUGGUUCCAUUUCUGACCACUUUGGGUCCCUUUCUGACCAUUUUGGCUCCAUUUCUGUCCACUUUGGUUCCAUUCCCGACCACAUCUCAGCCCCACAUCUCAGCCCCACAACCUCCGCUAUGGGGCAGCCCCACAUCUCUGCCCCUCAGCCCCACAUUUCUGCCCCAUAGAUCUCCCAGCCCCACAUCUCAACCCCGCAACCUCCGCUGUUGGGCAGCCCCAUAUCUCAGCCCCACAUCUCCGCCCCAUAGAUCCCCCAGCCCCAUAUCUCCGCCCCAUAGAUCCCCCAGCCCCACAUCUCAGCCCCACAUCUCCACCCCAUAGAUCCCCCAGCCCUACAUCUCCACCCCACAGAUCCCCCAGCCCCACCUCU
Molecule: long non-coding RNA, 648 nt
Filed under: Chrysolophus pictus (golden pheasant)
Lineage: Eukaryota; Metazoa; Chordata; Aves; Galliformes; Phasianidae
Description: lncRNA (ENSCPIG00010006854.1)
Source: RNAcentral